RNAcentral lists this transfer RNA (72 nucleotides) under bacterium. Its description in RNAcentral is "tRNA-Val". It matches the Rfam family "tRNA". From Rfam's summary of the family: Transfer RNA (tRNA) molecules are approximately 80 nucleotides in length. Their secondary structure includes four short double-helical elements and three loops (D, anti-codon, and T loops). Further hydrogen bonds mediate the characteristic L-shaped molecular structure. tRNAs have two regions of fundamental functional importance: the anti-codon, which is responsible for specific mRNA codon recognition, and the 3' end, to which the tRNAs corresponding amino acid is attached (by aminoacyl-tRNA synthetases). tRNAs cope with the degeneracy of the genetic code in two manners: having more than one tRNA (with a specific anti-codon) for a particular amino acid; and 'wobble' base-pairing, i.e. permitting non-standard base-pairing at the 3rd anti-codon position. RNAcentral also lists the same sequence under 4 other names. The record is from RNAcentral.
GGGCGAUUGGCUCAGUGGUAGAGCGCUCGCUUCACACGCGAGAGGUCACUGGUUCGAACCCAGUAUCGCCCA